GGGGAUUUAGCUCAGUGGUAGAGCGUCUGCUUUGCAAUGUCUGCUUCGACAGUUGGAUUGCUGAAGGUCUGGGGUUCAAUCCCCCAAGUCUCCA
Molecule: non-coding RNA, 94 nt
Organism: Testicularia cyperi
Lineage: Eukaryota; Fungi; Basidiomycota; Ustilaginomycetes; Ustilaginales; Anthracoideaceae
Source: the annotation of a GenBank genome assembly